ACCCUUUAAUGUUUGAUGUUCUAACGUGGACCCGUAAUCCGGGUUGCGGACAGUGUCUGGUGGGUAGUUUGACUGGGGCGGUCUCCUCCUAAAGAGUAACGGAGGAGCACGAAGGUUGGCUAAUCCUGGUCGGACAUCAGGAGGUUAGUGCAAUGGCAUAAGCCAGCUUGACUGCGAGCGUGACGGCGCGAGCAGGUGCGAAAGCAGGUCAUAGUGAUCCGGUGGUUCUGAAUGGAAGGGCCAUCGCUCAACGGAUAAAAGGUACUCCGGGGAUAACAGGCUGAUACCGCCCAAGAGUUCAUAUCGACGGCGGUGUUUGGCACCUCGAUGUCGGCUCAUCACAUCCUGGGGCUGAAGUAGGUCCCAAGGGUAUGGCUGUUCGCCAUUUAAAGUGGUACGCGAGCUGGGUUUAGAACGUCGUGAGACAGUUCGGUCCCUAUCUGCCGUGGGCGCUGGAGAACUGAGGGGGGCUGCUCCUAGUACGAGAGGACCGGAGUGGACGCAUCACUGGUGUUCGGGUUGUCAUGCCAAUGGCACUGCCCGGUAGCUAAAUGCGGAAGAGAUAAGUGCUGAAAGCAUCUAAGCACGAAACUUGCCCCGAGAUGAGUUCUCCCUGAGACUUUAGGUCUCCUGAAGGAACGUUGAAGACGACGACGUUGAUAGGCCGGGUGUGUAAGCGCAGCGAUGCGUUGAGCUAACCGGUACUAAUGAACCGUGAGGCUUAACCUUACAACGCCGAAGCUGUU
This 746-nucleotide ribosomal RNA is filed under the name Salmonella enterica. Its description in RNAcentral is "partial 23S ribosomal RNA". It matches the Rfam family "Bacterial large subunit ribosomal RNA", at positions 2202 to 2925 of the family's 2925-position model. The record is from RNAcentral. Lineage: Bacteria; Pseudomonadati; Pseudomonadota; Gammaproteobacteria; Enterobacterales; Enterobacteriaceae.